Molecule: ribosomal RNA, 503 nt
Filed under: uncultured bacterium
Lineage: Bacteria
Description: partial 16S ribosomal RNA
Rfam family: Bacterial small subunit ribosomal RNA
Source: RNAcentral
UGGGGAAUUUUGGACAAUGGGCGAAAGCCUGAUCCAGCAAUGCCGCGUGUGUGAAGAAGGCCUUCGGGUUGUAAAGCACUUUUGUCCGGAAAGAGAUCCUUGGCUCUAAUACAGUCGGGGGAUGACGGUACCGGAAGAAUAAGCACCGGCUAACUACGUGCCAGCAGCCGCGGUAAUACGUAGGGUGCAAGCGUUAAUCGGAAUUACUGGGCGUAAAGCGUGCGCAGGCGGUUUGCUAAGACCGAUGUGAAAUCCCCGGGCUCAACCUGGGAACUGCAUUGGUGACUGGCAGGCUAGAGUAUGGCAGAGGGGGGUAGAAUUCCACGUGUAGCAGGUGAAAUGCGUAGAGAUGUGGAGGAAUACCGAUGGCGAAGGCAGCCCCCUGGGCCAAUACUGACGCUCAUGCACGAAAGCGUGGGGAGCAAACAGGAUUAGAUACCCUGGUAGUCCACGCCCUAAACGAUGUCAACUAGUUGUUGGGGGAUUCAUUUCCUUAGUAACGU